GUUGCCAUCAUUUAGUUGGGGACUCUGGAGAGACCGCUGCAGUAACAAUGCAGAGGAAGGUGGGGACGACGUCAAGUCAUCAUGGUCCUUAUGUCCAGGGCUACACACGUGCUACAAUGGUAGUUACAGAGGGCAGCGAGGCCGCAAGGCGGAGCUAAUCUCAGAAAAGCUGCCACAGUUCGGAUUGAGGUCUGCAACUCGGCCUCAUGAAGCUGGAAUCGCUAGUAAUCGCGUAACAGCAUGACGCGGUGAAUACGUUCCCGGGGCUU
RNAcentral lists this ribosomal RNA (269 nucleotides) under uncultured Spirochaetota bacterium. RNAcentral's name for it is "uncultured Spirochaetes bacterium partial 16S ribosomal RNA". It matches the Rfam family "Bacterial small subunit ribosomal RNA", at positions 1114 to 1382 of the family's 1533-position model. Lineage: Bacteria; Pseudomonadati; Spirochaetota. The record is from RNAcentral.